AUCACUAUCCCCGGUUCUGGUUCUUCCGGCGGCAUCCGCCGGAAGCUAAGAGGGAACCCGGUGAGCCGCGCCGAGCGGCGAGACCGGGGCUGCCCCCGCAACUGUGAGCGGCGAGCCGAUCCGUCAUUUUCCGCCACUGGCGCCCCUCGCGGCGCUGGGAAGGCUGGACGGACCGGCGACGACCCGCAAGCCAGGAGACCUGCCAGCACCACGAUCAACGU
RNAcentral lists this non-coding RNA (221 nucleotides) under Azospirillum sp. RNAcentral also lists the same sequence under 1 other name. The record is from RNAcentral. Lineage: Bacteria; Pseudomonadati; Pseudomonadota; Alphaproteobacteria; Rhodospirillales; Azospirillaceae.